This 272-nucleotide long non-coding RNA is filed under the name Brassica rapa (field mustard). RNAcentral describes it as "long non-coding RNA (BRAP_LNC001101)". Lineage: Eukaryota; Viridiplantae; Streptophyta; Magnoliopsida; Brassicales; Brassicaceae. The record is from RNAcentral.
UUUUUGCAAUGAAAAAUAAAAUACAUAAUCUAGAUAUAGUUCGAUGCAGCAGUCGUGCUUACGAUCUAGCCCCAAAUUUUAAUCUUCUUACAAUGUAUAUAAGUUUAUCGUUGCUUUUUGGUUAGUUAAUGUCUAAUUAUACAUAUCUGUAUUAGGUUAGCAUAUAAUUAAAUAAUUGUCAAAACUAUAUACUGAAAAUUAAAAGAACUGAAAAUGAAACUUAAAAAAUCAGAAGUGGGAAAGUUACAACAAAAAAAAAAAUCCGAAGUGGG